Helianthus annuus (common sunflower) is the source of this 700-nucleotide long non-coding RNA. RefSeq lists it as uncharacterized. The record is from RefSeq and is a predicted model, not a curated record. The transcript has 3 exons. Lineage: Eukaryota; Viridiplantae; Streptophyta; Magnoliopsida; Asterales; Asteraceae.
CCCCAAAUUCACCUUCUCCUCCAGGAAAUCGAAUCGACGUCUUCUAAAUCCACCAUCUUCCUCAAGGAAUCAAUCUCCAAAUCUGAAGUUAUCAAAUGUUUUAAUGGGAAGAAAAGGAUGAAUGAACCACAAUCGAGUCGACGAUUUAAAUUUGCAAAUCGAGCUGACGAUGUAAAUCUGCAAUGUUUUUUUUUGGGAAGAAAAGGAUGAAUGAAUCAAAAUCCACCAUCUUCCUCAAUGAAUCAAUCUGCAAAUCUGAAGAAGCAUCAAGACAUGAGAAACUAGAAAGGAAAACAGAGAUGAUGAACUAGAAAGGAAAACAGAGAUGAUGAAGAUAGUGAGAGAAAUCAGAUCAUAGAAACUUCAUGGAAAGGCCAAACUUGAAGUCAUAUUUCAGAAAAAAUGGUACAUUCUACUGUUGGUUUUAAAAUGGCAAUGAGAACUUUGAGAGUUCAACUGUAGAAGCCUUGAAAGUGAUACGAAGAUUGUACUUUGGAAAGAGAAUAUUCACCGAGAAGACGUCAUCAAGAAGACUAGAUGAUAUUAUGGAUUAUGACUUGUCUCUAUGUUACUGUUGUUAGCGUAUAUCAAGGAUUAUAACUUAUGUUUUCAUGGUAUCAUGGUUACCGUAUGUCAAUGAUUACGAUUUGUUGGACAAUUUAAUGUUUUUGAUUUUUUUUGUAAUACUAUUUUGGUUUAG